RNAcentral lists this long non-coding RNA (240 nucleotides) under Panax ginseng (ginseng). RNAcentral describes it as "long non-coding RNA (PGIN_LNC005618)". Lineage: Eukaryota; Viridiplantae; Streptophyta; Magnoliopsida; Apiales; Araliaceae. The record is from RNAcentral.
UCGAGGAUGAGCAUGUUGAAGAUUUAGGAGAUAGUAACGAGGAUGGAGACUCGUGAUUAUAUAUGCAUGUUGAUCUUUUAGGUAGUAUUUUUUAGAAGUUACUUUUGUUUACCAUCGAGGAUGGGAUAUGAUGGUGUGAUUAUGCAUAUUUUUGAGCUUUAAAGCAGUAGUUUUUAGAAGUUACUUUUGUUGUAUUUGGUGAGACUUGUAGUACGUUGAUAUUUGUAAUAGUACUCAUCG